Long non-coding RNA from Peromyscus californicus insignis, 1026 nucleotides. RefSeq lists it as uncharacterized. NCBI's taxonomy places the organism in Eukaryota, Metazoa, Chordata, Mammalia, Rodentia, Cricetidae. The transcript has 2 exons. The record is from RefSeq and is a predicted model, not a curated record.
CCAAGGAAACUCAGAUACGCAUAAAAAGCAUCUAGAAACAACCAUAGAUUAUAUUUCAAGACAAAACAGGUUAUUUAUAGCCAAAAGGGACUUUGGGUAGCAAGUAAACUCACUGGUUUAUGUGGCUCCCCCAUUUUUGGUUAAGAAAUAGUUGCGUCCAAGAUGGCGGACGUUCCUAUGCCUCUCCCGGCGGGCGCUAGCGGCAAGGACUGAACUAUCUGGGGAGCACCAAGUAGAUUCUCCAAUGCUUUGAACACGUGGAACUGUACGGAGACAAAAUAUGUGACUAGAGAACCAUGCCAAGAAAACUGAGACUUCCACACAGGAGGCUUUUUAAGCUUUGCUUUUAAUCAGACAGACUGCUUGACAGACAAGACUGGAUCCUCUCCCCCUUUAAGGGCUGCGUUUUAGACCCGUCCACUGACGGGGCAAAAGAACGAAGGGUUCCAAAACUGCACGAGGAGUUCGCCGCCAACCAGAAGCAGCCAACACACAGGAAAAUGACUGCCCCUCACAAUGCACAAUCGUGUCGCGAGUGGCUUUAGUUUCAAUGGCCACCUGCAUCGCAGCUCGUCACCUAGUGCGGACCCCCGAGCAGACGGUCACUGUGGAUCACUCCGCCGGAGACAGCCUCCUUCACACGCGGGAGAACGCGAUCACGACCAGUUAGUUGACCAUGAAAUCACAGACUUGGAAUCCGAGCAGUGGAGUGGCUGAGCCAGGAAGAUGAGUUCAUGCUAGCCUGUGCUAUAUAAAGACUCCACGAAUGAGACUGGUGACCAGGGGAUGGUGGAUGAGUUAGCAAUCUGCUGGAGUAUUUUUGAUCGACUCAGAAAUGAGGAGCUACAGCCCAGUGAGAUUUCUCAGCCGACUCUUGCUGUCAAACCUGAAAAGUUGAGUUCCAUCCUGGAAGCCCAUAUUGUGGAGGGAGAGAAGUGACCCUGAGAGUUAGCCUCUGAUUUGCACGAGCAUGCACAUGACUAAGUAAAUGUAUUUAAUUAAAAUAAAAACAAAAACAAAAAACCA